UGGUGACCUGAGGCUUCCUGGCUGUCACUCUGUCCCAGCCCCUCCUGGCCUGCGGGGCACAGCCUGAGUCCCAGUAAAGUCUGUCAGGUCCUGACCC
This 97-nucleotide microRNA precursor is filed under the name Canis lupus familiaris (dog). RNAcentral's name for it is "mir-8813 microRNA precursor family". It matches the Rfam family "mir-8813 microRNA precursor family". RNAcentral also lists the same sequence under 1 other name. Lineage: Eukaryota; Metazoa; Chordata; Mammalia; Carnivora; Canidae. The record is from Rfam by way of RNAcentral.